This 297-nucleotide ribosomal RNA is filed under the name uncultured bacterium. Its description in RNAcentral is "partial 16S ribosomal RNA". It matches the Rfam family "Bacterial small subunit ribosomal RNA", at positions 333 to 626 of the family's 1533-position model. The record is from RNAcentral.
UUAUGCCUACGGGGCGCAGCAGUGAGGAAUAUUGGUCAAUGGGCAUACGCCUGAACCAGCCAAGUCGCGUGAGGGAAGACUGCCCUAUGGGUUGUAAACCUCUUUUGUCAGGGAGCAACGCCGGCUACGUGUAGCCGGACUGAGAGUACCUGAAGAAAAAGCAUCGGCUAACUCCGUGCCAGCAGCCGCGGUAAUACAGAGGUCUCAAGCGUUGUUCGGAAUCACUGGGCGUAAAGCGUGCGUAGGCUGUUUCGUAAGUCGUGUGUGAAAGGCGCGGGCUCAACCCGCGGACGGCAC